ACCGGGGCCACCCCCACCUUCUCUCGAAUAACUUCAUUCUUAAUCUUAUCUAAUCUGGUGAGACCGCACAUCCACCUGAGCAUCCUCAUCUCCGCAACCUUCAUUCUCUGAACAUAGAGUUCUUCACUGGCCAGCACUCUGUCCCAUACAACAUGGCAGGUCUAACCACAUCUCUAUAAAAUUUCCCCUUUGAGUUUUUGUGGAACUUUCUUGUCACACAGGACUCCUGAUGCAAGCCUCCACUUUGA
Molecule: long non-coding RNA, 248 nt
Filed under: Nicotiana benthamiana
Lineage: Eukaryota; Viridiplantae; Streptophyta; Magnoliopsida; Solanales; Solanaceae
Description: long non-coding RNA (NBEN_LNC001237)
Source: RNAcentral